GCUUGUCUCAAAGAUUAAGCCAUGCAUGUCUAAGUAUAAACAAAUCUAUACGUGAAACUGCGAAUGGCUCAUUAUAUCAGUUAUAGUUUAUUUGAUGGUUCUUGCUACUUGGAUAACCGUAGUAAUUCUAGAGCUAAUACAUGCGUCAAACCUCGACUUCUGGGAGAGGUGUAUUUAUUAGAUGGAAACCAAUGCGGGGCAACCCGGUAUAUGGUGAUUCAUAAUAACUUUCGGAUCGAUCUUCGGAUCGAUGCAUCAUUCAAGUUUCUGCCCUAUCAAUUGGCGAUGGUAGGAUAGAGGCCUACCAUGGUGUUAACGGGUGACGGGGGAUUAGGGUUCGAUUCCGGAGAGGCAGCCUGAGAAACGGCUACCACAUCCAAGGAAGGCAGCAGG
This 393-nucleotide ribosomal RNA is filed under the name uncultured Chrysophyceae. RNAcentral describes it as "partial small subunit ribosomal RNA". It matches the Rfam family "Eukaryotic small subunit ribosomal RNA", at positions 30 to 432 of the family's 1831-position model. Lineage: Eukaryota; Chrysophyceae. The record is from RNAcentral.